RNAcentral lists this ribosomal RNA (115 nucleotides) under Hyphomicrobiales bacterium. The record is from RNAcentral. Lineage: Bacteria; Pseudomonadati; Pseudomonadota; Alphaproteobacteria; Hyphomicrobiales. RNAcentral also lists the same sequence under 1 other name.
CCUGGUGAUUAUAGCGGGGUGGCUGCACCCGAUCCCAUUCCGAACUCGGCCGUGAAACGCCCCAGCGCCAAUGGUACUUCGUCUUAAGACGCGGGAGAGUAGGUCGUUGCCAGGU